UAGCUUAGUUGGUAGUGCGUCUGCCUUGUAAGCGCUAGACCGCGGGUUCGAUUCCCGC
Molecule: transfer RNA, 58 nt
Filed under: Diaphorina citri (Asian citrus psyllid)
Lineage: Eukaryota; Metazoa; Arthropoda; Insecta; Hemiptera; Psyllidae
Rfam family: tRNA
About the family: Transfer RNA (tRNA) molecules are approximately 80 nucleotides in length. Their secondary structure includes four short double-helical elements and three loops (D, anti-codon, and T loops).
Source: Rfam by way of RNAcentral